Molecule: ribosomal RNA, 247 nt
Filed under: uncultured bacterium
Lineage: Bacteria
Description: partial 16S ribosomal RNA
Rfam family: Bacterial small subunit ribosomal RNA
Source: RNAcentral
AUACGAAGGGGGCUAGCGUUGUUCGGAAUUACUGGGCGUAAAGCGCACGUAGGCGGUUUUCCAAGUUGGAGGUGAAAUCCCUGGGCUCAACCCGGGAACUGCCUCCAAAACUGGAUCACUCGAGUCCGAGAGAGGUGAGUGGAAUUUCCAGUGUAGAGGUGAAAUUCGUAGAUAUUGGAAAGAACACCAGUGGCGAAGGCGGCUCACUGGCUCGGUACUGACGCUGAGGUGCGACAGCGUGGGGAGC